This 30-nucleotide non-coding RNA is filed under the name Mus musculus (house mouse). Lineage: Eukaryota; Metazoa; Chordata; Mammalia; Rodentia; Muridae. The record is from RNAcentral.
UCUACACACAGUAGUGAGUCGUAAGUGAAA